This 2036-nucleotide unclassified non-coding RNA is filed under the name Hevea brasiliensis (rubber tree). The record is from RNAcentral. Lineage: Eukaryota; Viridiplantae; Streptophyta; Magnoliopsida; Malpighiales; Euphorbiaceae.
UUAGGAAUCCCAAAAUAAGAAAAUUCUUAAACCAAUACCACCACAUAAUCCCAAACCAAUUUAACUUCCUGAAUAUAAUAAAAUACUACUUCUUAGAUAGUAAUAAAAUACCUAAAUAAUAUAAACUUCUUAACUAAAAGAAAUCUAAACUUCCUAAUUUUACAAUGAAAAAUAUCAUUCUUCCCUAGUUGGAGAGCUUAAGUUUGAAGUGCAAAAGAAUCAAGAACCGAAUUCAGAGAAAAAAGCAAUUCUAUCUUCUUGAAUGGUGGCAAUAAGCUUGAAACAAAGAACUUCAUGCAUUCCUUCUUACCCUAGAAACGUUUAAACAUAGAAAAACAGUCAAAGUAGAAAGGCUCUUCACUAGGAACAAAAGAAUUAACUAAAUCUUUAAUUUCCAUUGUUGUCUCCAUUGCAGCUAAAUCUUCAAUUUCCAUUUUCAUAUCUAUGACUUGACUUUCUCUGUUUUCUACGAUACAUUCCUCAUUUUUUUUUCACUAGCUUCUACAAGUUUUUCAACAUGUGAAGUCUCAACAACCAAAGCUUCAGAUUCUUCAGACUUAGGUUCUUCAAGCUGCUCUUUGUUCUUCAAUUUCAACUCUUUUAAGUUGCUCUUUUUGUUCUUCAUGAUGAAGUUGUCCUCGCAUAAUACCUUUAACAACUCUUUAAACAUCAUCAAGCUCUGCUUUUAUUUUAACAAAACAUGAGAUAGUGUAUUCCCCUUUACAUAAUUCAAUUCUCUAUCCCUAACUCAUAAGAGUCGUUUUAUAUCCCGAUAUUCUCUUUCCUUAUUCCACAGAAUUUGUUGGAUAUCUUAAUAUUUAUAACAUAAAUCAAGUUUACUGACAUAUUUAUUCAACCAAUAACCAAGAUUAGCUAAUUUGACCCCAUAGUAAUUGAUUUCAUUUUGUAAUUUUCCAAUGUCAACUUUGUAGUAAUCGAUUUCAUGUUGUACUCUCUCAAUGUGAGUCUAUAACAUGAAAUUCUAAUUAAAAAAGCAUAUCUCAUUGGAGAAACACAAAUUUCAGCUUUUAGGAAAUGUUUCUAGCCAAACAGGAUGCCAAAAUUGGAAUCAGCAUGUCGAAAUCAGUAUGCAAGGGUCCUCCAAAAUUUUAGUUGACGUGUGGCGAGUGAUGAUGUGGCAAUUGACAAAGGAGUUCAAUGGUGAGUGAUGAUGUGGCAAUCAUUGAUGUGGCAAUGAUAAGUGUCCUUUGUGAACUCCUUAGGCUGAGUUGCGAGUCGGGUUGCCUACUGACCCAGUUGAAUCUCACUGCAGGGGCUUCACAAAGGAGUUCUGAAAAUGGGAACAGAGCCACCAGUUGAUGGUGAAGGGCAAGAGAGGGUCAGGAGUAAGAAAUUGUCAAGAUUCAAGCAGGUCUCAAAUUAGGUUGAAAUCUGACCUGGACGAAUCUAAGCUUCCAAUCAAUGUCAAGCAGUCAAAUUUGCUUGGGAAAGGUAGCCUAGAUGUCUCCAAUCGCCUGGCAAUGCAGACACGGCUAUUUGGUGGCCGGCAAUGGUGACUCUAGUUAACAUAAUUUGGGUUGUUAGGAGAAAGGCAAGGAAAGUAUCUGUUUCAUGAGAGAUCUUGACUCUGUUGAAUUGUGUACAAAUCGUGGUGUUUUGUUUAAUAGGCAGUGGUUGAACUUGCGAUGGACAGACUUGCAAAGAUUUGCGACACUGUGGGUAUGUUGUGCAAAGGGUGGUGGACUUGGGUUUCAAAAAUUUAGUAUCAAAGCUAUAGCAAAGUAGGCUUGGAAGCAAUAAUUGAGAGGUAAGGAAGUGACUCAGCAAAGAAAAAGCAAACAGUAAACAUAAUGAAAAUUUUGAGGCCAAAAAAAACACUGGUGGGAUUUUGAGGCUUUGCACCAAAUUAAUGUAGAACGAGAAGGGUAAUGAGAAACAAAUUCUCAAAGGGAUGAAAAACACUUUCUCAAAGGGUAGAGAAAAACAUUCUCAAUUUAUUAAUUCCUCAAUCGAAUAAUAUCUUUAAUAAAAUACUUGUAGUAUAUCAACCAGUCCUACUACUAUUAGGAUUAGGA